This 181-nucleotide non-coding RNA is filed under the name Celerinatantimonas diazotrophica. RNAcentral's name for it is "6S / SsrS RNA". It matches the Rfam family "6S / SsrS RNA". From Rfam's summary of the family: E. coli 6S RNA was the first non coding RNA to be sequenced, but its function was unknown until recently. It consists of 184 nucleotides that fold into an extended hairpin structure with a large single-stranded internal bulge. Lineage: Bacteria; Pseudomonadati; Pseudomonadota; Gammaproteobacteria; Celerinatantimonadaceae. The record is from Rfam by way of RNAcentral.
UAAUACCUGGGGUGAGCGUCAGUCAGUUGCUCCUCUGCCGAUACUACAGUAUAAGGGUUAUACUUUAUUGCUAUUGAGCAAGCUCAGCACGUACUGAGAAGCCUACGGUAACUAAAUUUAUAGCCCGCCUUGAACUUUUCGGUUCAAGGGAAAAACUUGACAGCGCCACCCUGGGUUCUCU